GAUGAAGAACGUAGUGAAAUGCGAUAAGUAAUGUGAAUUGCAGAAUUCAGAGAAUCAUCGAAUCUUUGAACGCACAUUGCGCCCGUCAGUAUUCUGGCGGGCAUGCCUGUUCGAGCGUCAUUACGCCCCUCAAGUCCCCUGUGGACUUGGUGUUGGGGAUCGGCGAGGCUGGUUUUCCAGCACAGCCGUCCCUUAAAUUAAUUGGCGGUCUCGCCGUGGCCCUCCUCUGCGCAGUAGUAAAACACUCGCAACAGGAGCCCGGCGCGGUCCACUGCCGUAAAACCCCCCAACUUUUUAUAGUUGACCUCGAAUCAGGUAGGACUACCCGCUGAACUUAAGCAUAUCAAUAAGCGGAGGA
RNAcentral lists this unclassified non-coding RNA (358 nucleotides) under soil metagenome. RNAcentral describes it as "partial contains 5.8S ribosomal RNA, internal transcribed spacer 2, and large subunit ribosomal RNA". The stretch from base 1 to 120 matches the Rfam family "5.8S ribosomal RNA", at positions 35 to 154 of the family's 154-position model. The record is from RNAcentral.